Molecule: ribosomal RNA, 253 nt
Filed under: uncultured bacterium
Lineage: Bacteria
Description: partial 16S ribosomal RNA
Rfam family: Bacterial small subunit ribosomal RNA
Source: RNAcentral
UACAGAGGUCCCAAGCGUUGUUCGGAUUCAUUGGGCGUAAAGGGUGUGUAGGUGGCGCCGUAAGUCGGGUGUGAAAUUUCGGAGCUUAACUCCGAAACUGCAUUCGAUACUGCGGUGCUUGAGGACUGGAGAGGAGACUGGAAUUCAUGGUGUAGCAGUGAAAUGCGUAGAGAUCAUGAGGAAGACCAGUGGCGAAGGCGGGUCUCUGGACAGUUACUGACACUGAGGCACGAAGGCCAGGGGAGCAAACGGG